GAGAAGAAGAUCAAGAUUCAGUAUUGGGAGUACCUGAGAUGCCCAAAGAAAUAGAAAAAUUAGGGCUCACAUAGUGUAAGCAAAAAGGCAAAGAAAAAUGUACAGGGAGUGAGAUUUUGGAGAGGAGGCCAUGGAUUGCAACAGAGCGAUGGAGACAGAGAAGCUACGAGAGAUUUUGAGAAAUAAAGGAUGGAGGCUAGGGUUUUGUUUCUCUGAGAGGAAAGGCGGAGAAGUCAUAAGGGAG
This 244-nucleotide long non-coding RNA is filed under the name Malus domestica (apple). RNAcentral describes it as "long non-coding RNA (MDOM_LNC001822)". Lineage: Eukaryota; Viridiplantae; Streptophyta; Magnoliopsida; Rosales; Rosaceae. The record is from RNAcentral.